CCUACGGGAGGCUGCAGUGGGGAAUUUUGGACAAUGGGCGAAAGCCUGAUCCAGCAAUGCCGCGUGUGUGAAGAAGGCCUUCGGGUUGUAAAGCACUUUUGUCCGGAAAGAAAACGCCGUGGUUAAUACCCGUGGCGGAUGACGGUACCGGAAGAAUAAGCACCGGCUAACUACGUGCCAGCAGCCGCGGUAAUACGUAGGGUGCAAGCGUUAAUCGGAAUUACUGGGCGUAAAGCGUGCGCAGGCGGUCCGCUAAGACAGAUGUGAAAUCCCCGGGCUUAACCUGGGAACUGCAUUUGUGACUGGCGGGCUAGAGUAUGGCAGAGGGGGGUAGAAUUCCACGUGUAGCAGUGAAAUGCGUAGAGAUGUGGAGGAAUACCGAUGGCGAAGGCAGCCCCCUGGGCCAAUACUGACGCUCAUGCACGAAAGCGUGGGGAGCAAACAGGAUUAGAUACCCCGGUAGUC
Molecule: ribosomal RNA, 465 nt
Filed under: uncultured bacterium
Lineage: Bacteria
Description: bacterial SSU rRNA
Rfam family: Bacterial small subunit ribosomal RNA
Source: RNAcentral